UGCAGUCGAACGAAAUCUUCGGAUUUAGUGGCGGACGGGUGAGUAACGCGUGAGAAUCUGCCUUCAGGACGGGGACAACAGUUGGAAACGACUGCUAAUACCCGAUGUGCCGCAAGGUGAAAAUUAUUUAGCCUGAAGAGGAGCUCGCGUCCGAUUAGCUAGUUGGGGUGGUAAAAGCGCACCAAGGCAACGAUCGGUAGCUGGUCUGAGAGGAUGAGCAGCCACACUGGGACUGAGACACGGCCCAGACUCCUACGGGAGGCAGCAGUGGGGAAUUUUCCGCAAUGGGCGAAAGCCUGACGGAGCAAUACCGCGUGAGGGAGGAAGGCUUUUGGGUUGUAAACCUCUUUUCUCAAGGAAGAAGAACUGACGGUACUUGAGGAAUCAGCAUCGGCUAACUCCGUGCCAGCAGCCGCGGUAAUACGGAGGAUGCAAGCGUUAUCCGGAAUUAUUGGGCGUAAAGCGUCCGCAGGUGGUACAUCAAGUCCGCUGUUAAAGACCAGGGCUCAACCCCGGGAAGGCAGAGGAAACUGAUGAACUAGAGUACGGUAGGGGUAGAGGGAAUUCCCAGUGUAGCGGUGAAAUGCGUAGAGAUUGGGAAGAACACCAGUGGCGAAGGCGCUCUACUGGACCUGUACUGACACUCAGGGACGAAAGCUAGGGUAGCGAAAGGGAUUAGAUACCCCUGUAGUCCUAGCCGUAAACGAUGGAUACUAGGCGUUGCUUGUAUCGACCCGA
RNAcentral lists this ribosomal RNA (738 nucleotides) under cyanobacterium AUcy4. Its description in RNAcentral is "bacterial SSU rRNA". It matches the Rfam family "Bacterial small subunit ribosomal RNA", at positions 56 to 839 of the family's 1533-position model. The record is from RNAcentral. Lineage: Bacteria; Bacillati; Cyanobacteriota.